UACGAAGGGGGCGAGCGUUGUUCGGAUUUACUGGGCGUAAAGGGCGCGCAGGCGGCUCAUUUUGUCAGGCGUGAAAGCCCCGGGCUUAACCUGGGACUGCGUUUGAGACGGAUGGGCUAGAGUUCGGGAGAGGAGAGUGGAAUUCCCAGUGUAGAGGUGAAAUUCGUAGAUAUUGGGAAGAACACCAGUGGCGAAAGGCGGCUCCACUGGCUCGUAUCUGACGCUCAGGCGCGAUAGCGUGGGGAUCAAACAGG
RNAcentral lists this ribosomal RNA (254 nucleotides) under uncultured bacterium. RNAcentral describes it as "partial 16S ribosomal RNA". It matches the Rfam family "Bacterial small subunit ribosomal RNA", at positions 524 to 776 of the family's 1533-position model. The record is from RNAcentral.